RNAcentral lists this ribosomal RNA (253 nucleotides) under uncultured bacterium. RNAcentral's name for it is "partial 16S ribosomal RNA". It matches the Rfam family "Bacterial small subunit ribosomal RNA", at positions 524 to 776 of the family's 1533-position model. The record is from RNAcentral.
UACGGAGGGAGCUAGCGUUGUUCGGAAUUACUGGGCGUAAAGCGCGCGUAGGCGGCUUUGUAAGUUAGAGGUGAAAGCCCGGGGCUCAACUCCGGAACUGCCUUUAAGACUGCAUCGCUUGAAUCCGGGAGAGGUGAGUGGAAUUCCGAGUGUAGAGGUGAAAUUCGUAGAUAUUGGGAGGAACACCAGUGGCGAAGGCGGCUCACUGGACCGGUACUGACGCUGAUGCGCGAAAGCGUGGGGAGCAAACGGG